Molecule: ribosomal RNA, 372 nt
Filed under: uncultured organism
Description: partial 16S ribosomal RNA
Rfam family: Bacterial small subunit ribosomal RNA
Source: RNAcentral
GGAGGGGUGCAAACGUUGUCCGGAAUUACUGGGCGUAAAGGGCGCGUAGGCGGACUUGUAAGUCAGGAGUGAAAACUCAGGGCUCAACCCUGAGCCUGCUUCUGAAACUGCAAGUCUUGAGGACCGGAGAGGAAAGUGGAAUUCCUAGUGUAGCGGUGGAAUGCGUAGAUAUUAGGAAGAACACCAGUGGCGAAGGCGACUUUCUGGACGGUACCUGACGCUGAGGCGCGAAAGCUAGGGGAGCAAACAGGAUUAGAUACCCUGGUAGUCCUAGCUGUAAACGAUGAGUGCUAGGUGGUGGUAGUUUCAACGCUUUCACUGCCGAAGCUAACGCAUUAAGCACUCCGCCUGGGGAGUACGGCCGCAAGGUUG